GACGAACGCUGGCGGCGUGCUUAACACAUGCAAGUCGAACGGAAAGGCCCUGCGUUUGUGGGGUGCUCGAGUGGCGAACGGGUGAGUAACACGUGAGUAACCUGCCCUUGACUUUGGGAUAACUUCAGGAAACUGGGGCUAAUACCGGAUAGGAGCUCCUGCUGCAUGGUGGGGGUUGGAAAGUUUCGGCGGUUGGGGAUGGACUCGCGGCUUAUCAGCUUGUUGGUGGGGUAGUGGCUUACCAAGGCUUUGACGGGUAGCCGGCCUGUGAGGGUGACCGGCCACAUUGGGACUGCGAUACGGCGCAGACUCCUACGGGAGGCAGCAGUGGGGAAUAUUGCACAAUGGGCGGACGCCUGAUGCAGCAACGCCGCGUGCGGGAUGACGGCCUUCGGGUUGUAAACCGCUUUCGCCUGUGACGAAGCGUGAGUGACGGUAAUGGGUAAAGAAGCACCGGCUAACUACGUG
This 468-nucleotide ribosomal RNA is filed under the name uncultured bacterium. RNAcentral's name for it is "partial 16S ribosomal RNA". It matches the Rfam family "Bacterial small subunit ribosomal RNA", at positions 28 to 507 of the family's 1533-position model. The record is from RNAcentral.